AGUGAACGCUGGCGGUAGGCCUAACACAUGCAAGUCGAACGGCAGCACAGUAAGAGCUUGCCCUUACGGGUGGCGAGUGGCGGACGGGUGAGGAAUACAUCGGAAUCUACUUUUUCGUGGGGGAUAACGUAGGGAAACUUACGCUAAUACCGCAUACGACCUACGGGUGAAAGCAGGGGAUCUUCGGACCUUGCGCGAUUGAAUUAGCCGAUGUCGGAUUAGCUAGUUGGCAGGGUAAAGGCCCACCAAGGCGACGAUCCGUAGCUGAUCUGAGAGGAUGAUAGGCGACAAUGGAAAUGAGAGAAGGUCCAGACUACUACGGGACGAAGCCGAGGGGAAGCGUCAGGAAUGGGCGAAGUCCUGACGGAGCAACGCAGAGGGAGAGAUGAAGGUCUUCGGCUCGCAAAACUUUGUUAUUAGGGAAGAAAAGAUGUGUAGGUAACUGUGCACAUCGGGACGGUACCUAAUCAGAAAGCCACGGCUAACUACGUG
This 492-nucleotide ribosomal RNA is filed under the name uncultured bacterium. Its description in RNAcentral is "partial 16S ribosomal RNA". It matches the Rfam family "Bacterial small subunit ribosomal RNA", at positions 29 to 507 of the family's 1533-position model. The record is from RNAcentral.